This 301-nucleotide ribosomal RNA is filed under the name uncultured bacterium. RNAcentral's name for it is "partial 16S ribosomal RNA". It matches the Rfam family "Bacterial small subunit ribosomal RNA", at positions 509 to 807 of the family's 1533-position model. The record is from RNAcentral.
CAGUAGCCGCGGGAAUACGUAGGUGGCAAGCGUUGUCCGGAAUUAUUGGGCGUAAAGCGCGCGCAGGUGGUUUAAUAAGUCUGAUGUGAAAGCCCACGGCUCAACCGUGGGGGGUCAUUGGAAACUGUUAAACUUGAGUGCAGGAGAGAAAAGUGGAAUUCCUAGUGUAGCGGUGAAAUGCGUAGAGAUUAGGAGGAACACCAGUGGCGAAGGCGGCUUUUUGGCCUGUAACUGACACUGAGGCGCGAAAGCGUGGGGAGCAAACAGGAUUAGAUACCCGCGUAGUCCCUGUCUCUUAUAC